AAACCAACUGGGAUUACCUUAGUAACGGCGAGUGAAGGCGGUAAAAGCUCAAAUUUGAAAUCUGGUACUUUCAGUGCCCGAGUUGUAAUUUGUAGAAUUUGUCUUUGAUUAGGUCCUUGUCUAUGUUCCUUGGAACAGGACGUCAUAGAGGGUGAGAAUCCCGUUUGGCGAGGAUACCUUUUCUCUGUAAGUACUUUUUCGAAGAGUCGAGUUGUUUGGGAAUGCAGCUCAAAGUGGGUGGUAAAUUCCAUCUAAAGCUAAAUAUUGGCGAGAGACCGAUAGCGAACAAGUACAGUGAUGGAAAGAUGAAAAGAACUUUGAAAAGAGAGUGAAAAAGUACGUGAAAUUGUUGAAAGGGAAGGGCAUUUGAUCAGACAUGGUGUUUUUGCAUGCACUCGCCUCUCGUGGGCUUGGGCCUCUCAAAAAUUUCACUGGGCCAACAUCAAUUCUGGCAGUCGAGUAAUAACUCUAAGUAAGUAAUGUACGUCCUACGUUACGGUAGUUAGUUAGUACGUACUUUUUGGAAAUUACCUGUUACGCGGUUACG
This 547-nucleotide ribosomal RNA is filed under the name uncultured Hanseniaspora. Its description in RNAcentral is "eukaryotic LSU rRNA". It matches the Rfam family "Eukaryotic large subunit ribosomal RNA", at positions 62 to 612 of the family's 3401-position model. The record is from RNAcentral. Lineage: Eukaryota; Fungi; Ascomycota; Saccharomycetes; Saccharomycodales; Saccharomycodaceae.